UAAAAUCUUUUUGAAAAGUGUUUUUCUCUCAGUGCCACGCACGUGUGUGAAUGCUCCAGGUGCUGCCCUACCCCCAGAGGGAAACACUUUUCAGCAAACUUUCAGAAGUUUAUGCUCCAGAUUACCCCCCUCUUGUAGCGACCAUUUCUAGAAGGAUCCAUAGACUGCAGACUAAUGAUCUCCUGCCAAGAUGAGCGAAGUUUAAAUCGAAACCUUCUGUCUCAGGCUUUAAACUCUUGGGAGUGCACGGGUGUCCAGAGAGGGGAGCCGCUCCCCAAGCACCCUUCUCCACUGGCACCAGGAAGACAAAGCCUGCCUAACCUCUGGGCAUCCAGAUGGUGGCACUUGGCCUACUGGGCUAGAGCUGCGCCACUCUCCUGGUGAGGACACUGCUGCACCCUGAGGGUUCACAGGGCAAGGUUGGAGCAGCUGGGACUUCCCUGCGCUGGGAAUGGGAUCACUGCAGCCGAUAUGGACACACCUAAUCCUCAUCAACGCCAAUUUCUACACGGGCUCCGCCUACUCCAUGCAGCCCCGCCCCUCAACAGAACCCAGGAAGUGAAGGAACCUGAAAGUUUUCCCCAAGGCAUCAAGAACUGUGAGUGUCUCAGGCCCCAGGCGGUGUGCCCUGCCAGCCAAUAUCAACCCUGGAGAGAGUGAAGUGGUGCACUGGGCGUGGGGUCCUGGUGGGGCUUCUCUCAGCACUCCCUUCUGACUUGUUCAAGCAGUGUGUUGGGAGCCCUCAGCCCUUCGCGGUGUGUGGAAGAUGGGGAGCGAUGCCAUGCUUUCCCACCCUAUCGUGUGUGUGUCAUCUUUAGGCAAAUCUGUGACCACCUCUCCUGACAGCAGACAAGAAAACAGAGCUGGAGAAAGUGAAUAAAACACAAUUCUUCCAUCAGUGCUCACCACUGACUGCCAGCACAGCUCCACCAUCUGUGCUGUGGUCAUCACAGCAGCAAAUGCCUUUUUGCACACUCAGUCCUCAGUGACCCUCAGCCUGUAGCCAACAUCAGAAUCUCCCAAAGGCCUAGUGAGGGCACACACUGCCCGGCCCCACCUCCAGCUUCUGAUUCAGCAGCUCUGGCGUGCCUCCUAAGAAUUUUAACUUCUACCAACUCCCUGGUGGUGCCAAUGCUGCUGGUCCUCAGGCUGGUGUGGGUAGCAAGGCUCUACAGCACUGCUUUCCAUAUAGGGUUGGAGUCGCCCUCCCAGAGAUUCUGAUCCUGGGAGGAGCCUACCAAAGGGCAACAUUAAAAAACCCAGGUAAGUUUAGUUAGUAACAAGGAUGGCACGUCAGGAGGGAAAAGUGCAUAGUGUUGGUUGAACUGGCUUGCAUUUGAGGAAACACUCAGAUACCACCUCACACCAUAAAACAACAAUAAUUAACCAGUAGAUUAAAGAUCUUUGUGCUUGAAAGCAAAACUUAGAAAAUAUUUUAGUAAUUUUGAAGUCUGUAUAGGCAAUCAAAUCCACACUGUAACAGUUGAAUGUGUCUUGCCAAUGGGUUUCAGCCCUAGGCAAGUUCGCUAUGGAUUCAAUGUGACCAAAGAAAAUGACAGCAAAACGUUCUUGGGGUGAAAGCGUUAUACCCAACUUUAUUUCCAGGUGGCAGGUCAGUCACUAGAAUCCCAUUCACUCAGAGCAAGUCUGUAUGCAGCAAGCCAGUCUCUGCCUCUGGGCCCCUCUGUCUGCACAGCUGUCCUGCACAGCCAUCCUCUGGGCCUCUCUACACAGUCAUCCCACACAGCCGUCCUCUGGGCCUCUGUCCUCGACACUGCCACCACUCCAGGCUCUGCUCUGCUCCCCUGCAGCCUUGCAGCUGUGCCACUACGUGGCACCCAAAGCAUUGGGCGGAGCUCUUUUUAUAGAGUCAACAGCCAUGUAUUACCCACAGGGGUGCAGUGAGCUAGUCAACCACAGCCAGGUGAGAAUCCUGGCCACAGGAACUCUUUUUAUCCACAAAUGUCUCUGCCCAGGUGAACAGGUCUUGAAAUGUUCAUAUCUAGUUUGCGAUUCUAGUUAUUGGUGUGUUGGAAAGCUCAAGAGCUUGUUAACUACCCCAGGGGCAGUGUCCACGAUGGAAAGGCCAGUGUCUGCUGCUAGAGAACCAUUCGCAUUUGUUGCCUAAGUGAAUUUCUGUGGUAGGCAACAGUUCAGAGACCUUGUUUCACUUGUCCAUGGAGAUUUAAAAACCUAAAAUAAAUCACUACAACAGAA
Manis pentadactyla (Chinese pangolin) is the source of this 2217-nucleotide long non-coding RNA. RefSeq lists it as uncharacterized. The transcript has 2 exons. The record is from RefSeq and is a predicted model, not a curated record. Lineage: Eukaryota; Metazoa; Chordata; Mammalia; Pholidota; Manidae.